UGUUGGAAGCAGGGGGCGACUUUCAACAAACCCGCGGGGGUCUUCCUGUCUCUCCUACGCGCGCCGGGCCUUGUUUCUGUCUGCAGACCCAGGUGCCUCCGCCGCAUCUUCUGGCGCUCUGUGUACAGCGCUGGUCGCAGGAGCGGUGGAGGGGACGCCGGGACACCCCGGAAGCUGGGAAAUGGAAAAAAAUGGGAAGACCAGAACACUGAAGAUCAGUAUGAAAAAUCCCAGGAGAAAUUUAAAGUAAUUUGCACUCA
Molecule: long non-coding RNA, 260 nt
Organism: Lemur catta (Ring-tailed lemur)
Lineage: Eukaryota; Metazoa; Chordata; Mammalia; Primates; Lemuridae
Exons: 2
Source: RefSeq, a predicted model, not a curated record